GCCAGGCGUGGUGGUGCAUGCCUGUAAUCCCAGCUACUCAGGAGGCUGAGGCAGGAGAAUUGCUUGAACCCAGGAGGCGGAGGUUGCAGUGAGCUGAGAUCACACCACUGCACUCCAGCCUGGGUGACAGAGCAAUACUCUGUCUAAA
This 148-nucleotide non-coding RNA is filed under the name Homo sapiens (human). Lineage: Eukaryota; Metazoa; Chordata; Mammalia; Primates; Hominidae. The record is from Rfam by way of RNAcentral.